UUUUCGGUUAAUCUGUACGCUCAACGUACAGGCUGCCGGGAAUACUGCAAAGCUAGGGAGUGGGAGAGGUAGACGGUACUCGGUAGGAAGGGGUAAAAUCCUUUGAUCUAUUGAUGACCACCUGUGGCGAAGGCGGUCUACCAGAACACGUCCGACGGUGAGGGAUGAAAGCUGGGGGAGCAAACCGGAUUAGAUACCCGGGUAGUCCCAGCUGUAAACCAUGCAAACUCAGUGAUGCAUUGGCUUGUGGCCAAUGCAGUGCUGCAGGGAAGCCGUUAAGUUUGCCGCCUGGGAAGUACGUACGCAAGUAUGAAACUUAAAGGAAUUGGCGGGGGAGCACCACAAGGGGUGAAGCCUGCGGUUCAAUUGGAGUCAACGCCAGAAAUCUUACCCGGAGAGACAGCAGAAUGAAGGUCAAGCUGAAGACUUUACCAGACAAGCUGAGAGGUGGUGCAUGGCCGUCGCCAGCUCGUGCCGUGAGAUGUCCUGUUAAGUCAGGUAACGAGCGAGAUCCCUGCCUCUAGUUGCCACCAUUACUCUCAGGAGUAGUGGGGCGAAUUAGCGGGACCGCCGCAGUUAAUGCGGAGGAAGGAAGGGGGCACGGCAGGUCAGUAUGCCCCGAAACUCUGGGGCCCCACGCGGGCUUGCAUGGUAACCACCAUUGGUUUCCAAUCCGAAAGGAUGACGUACUCCCCAACGUUACCCAGUUUUGACUGAGGGCUGCACCUCCCCCUCCCGAAUAUGGAAUCCCUAAUACCUGCGUGUCAUUAUCCGCGCGUGAAUACCCCCCUGCUCCCUUG
RNAcentral lists this ribosomal RNA (800 nucleotides) under uncultured archaeon. RNAcentral describes it as "bacterial SSU rRNA". It matches the Rfam family "Archaeal small subunit ribosomal RNA", at positions 538 to 1339 of the family's 1478-position model. The record is from RNAcentral.